Molecule: long non-coding RNA, 405 nt
Filed under: Salmo salar (Atlantic salmon)
Lineage: Eukaryota; Metazoa; Chordata; Actinopteri; Salmoniformes; Salmonidae
Description: lncRNA (ENSSSAG00000113954.1)
Source: RNAcentral
CUGCCACUUCACAAGAUAUGGAAUCCUUUACUCCGACCUCAAAAAUGAGCUCACAGUCUGUCCACCUCACUACAUACAGAUGUAGGAUCUUAAUUUGACCUGUAUUGUCACAGCAAAAUAAUACUGCAGCAACAGGAUUUGAACGUUUAGUCCAUAAUGUCGCUUGAUCGGUGGUUAAGCUAUUAGCUGGACAAAAUGAGGCUACAUGAAAAGUGGAAUACUGUUAAUAUACAGGAUCGCCCUGGACGAGGUACUGUUGCCGGACACUCUGGACGAGGUACUGUUGCCGGACACUCUGGACGGGGUACUGUUGCCGGACACUCUGGACGAGGUACUGUUGCCGGACACUCUGGACGAGGUACUGUUGCCGGACACUCUGGACGUGGUACUGUUGCCGGACACUCU